GCUGGGCAUGGUGGCGCAUGCCUGUAAUCCCAGCUACUCGGGAGGCUGAGGCACGAGAAUCACUUGAACCCAGGAGGUGGAGGUUGCAGUGAGCUAAGAUCACACCACUGCACUCCAGCCUGGGCGACAGAGUGAGACUCUGUCUCAA
RNAcentral lists this non-coding RNA (148 nucleotides) under Homo sapiens (human). Lineage: Eukaryota; Metazoa; Chordata; Mammalia; Primates; Hominidae. The record is from Rfam by way of RNAcentral.